UGCCAGCCGCCGCGGUAAUACGUAGGGCGCAAGCGUUGUCCGGAAUUAUUGGGCGUAAAGAGCUCGUAGGCGGUUUGUCGCGUCUGCUGUGAAAGUCCGAGGCUCAACCUCGGAUCUGCAGUGGGUACGGGCAGACUAGAGUGUGGUAGGGGAGACUGGAAUUCCUGGUGUAGCGGUGGAAUGCGCAGAUAUCAGGAGGAACACCAAUGGCGAAGGCAUCUCUCUGGGUCGAUAUUGACGCUGAGGCGCGAAGGCGUGGGUAGCGAACGGGAUUAGAUA
This 279-nucleotide ribosomal RNA is filed under the name uncultured bacterium. RNAcentral describes it as "partial 16S ribosomal RNA". It matches the Rfam family "Bacterial small subunit ribosomal RNA", at positions 506 to 784 of the family's 1533-position model. The record is from RNAcentral.